AAACCCAGUGUGACUCGUCACACUAUCAUUAACUGAAUCCAUAGGUUAAUGAGGCGAACCGGGGGAACUGAAACAUCUAAGUACCCCGAGGAAAAGAAAUCAACCGAGAUUCCCCCAGUAGCGGCGAGCGAACGGGGAGGAGCCCAGAGCCUGAAUCAGCAUGUGUGUUAGUGGAAGCGUCUGGAAAGGCGCGCGAUACAGGGUGACAGCCCCGUACACAAAAGCGCAUGUGCUGUGAGCUCGAUGAGUAGGGCGGGACACGUGGUAUCCUGUCUGAAUAUGGGGGGACCAUCCUCCAAGGCUAAAUACUCCUGACUGACCGAUAGUGAACCAGUACCGUGAGGGAAAGGCGAAAAGAACCCCGGCGAGGGGAGUGAAAAAGAACCUGAAACCGUGUACGUACAAGCAGUGGGAGCCCCACCACCAAAGCAUUUGCUGUACCGCGUUGACGGAGCGAAGCGACGUCAAACCGAUAAAACAGCAGUGUAAAGUGAGCCGCAGGGCGCUUUGCG
RNAcentral lists this ribosomal RNA (512 nucleotides) under Salmonella enterica subsp. enterica serovar Enteritidis. RNAcentral describes it as "partial 23S ribosomal RNA". The stretch from base 1 to 401 matches the Rfam family "Bacterial large subunit ribosomal RNA", at positions 124 to 565 of the family's 2925-position model. Lineage: Bacteria; Pseudomonadati; Pseudomonadota; Gammaproteobacteria; Enterobacterales; Enterobacteriaceae. The record is from RNAcentral.